UCCCGUUUCCAACAGAAAAUUCUAGAUCUUCUGUUUUCAUUCCGAUUUCAGCACAAGUCACUUCUGACUUAUGUUUUACUCCUACAAAUUCAAUAAAAAUAGUUUCUCACACUAUUUUUAUUUAUUUUUAUUUUUAUACUAAAAUCUGGUAUGUUACAGCGCCUCAAUGAGUUCAGGAGAUGCGGUCCCCGGAUUUUCGAUGGCGAGAAGGUCGACCAAUGGAUUGUGGAGAAGUGGUUGAUGCAU
RNAcentral lists this long non-coding RNA (246 nucleotides) under Ananas comosus (pineapple). RNAcentral describes it as "long non-coding RNA (ACOM_LNC040345)". Lineage: Eukaryota; Viridiplantae; Streptophyta; Magnoliopsida; Poales; Bromeliaceae. The record is from RNAcentral.